UACGGAGGGGGCUAGCGUUGUUCGGAAUUACUGGGCGUAAAGCGCGCGUAGGCGGACCUGCAAGUCGGGGGUGAAAUCCUGGAGCUCAACUCCAGAACUGCCUUCGAUACUGGCGAUCUCGAGUUCGGGAGAGGUGAGUGGAACUGCGAGUGUAGAGGUGAAAUUCGUAGAUAUUCGCAAGAACACCAGUGGCGAAGGCGGGUCUCUGGGCCGAUACUGACGCUGAGGAGCGAAAGCGUGGGGAGCGAACAGG
RNAcentral lists this ribosomal RNA (253 nucleotides) under uncultured bacterium. Its description in RNAcentral is "partial 16S ribosomal RNA". It matches the Rfam family "Bacterial small subunit ribosomal RNA", at positions 524 to 776 of the family's 1533-position model. The record is from RNAcentral.